UACAGAGGUCCCAAGCGUUGUUCGGAUUCAUUGGGCGUAAAGGGUGCGUAGGCGGCGCGGUAAGUCGGGUGUGAAAUCUCGGGGCUUAACUCCGAAACUGCAUUCGAUACUGCCGUGCUUGAGGACUGGAGAGGAGACUGGAAUUUACGGUGUAGCGGUGAAAUGCGUAGAUAUCGUAAGGAAGACCAGUGGCGAAGGCGGCCAUCUGGACCGGAACUGACGCUGAGGCGCGAAAGCCAGGGGAGCGAAUGGG
Molecule: ribosomal RNA, 253 nt
Filed under: uncultured bacterium
Lineage: Bacteria
Description: partial 16S ribosomal RNA
Rfam family: Bacterial small subunit ribosomal RNA
Source: RNAcentral